Molecule: ribosomal RNA, 500 nt
Filed under: uncultured bacterium
Lineage: Bacteria
Description: partial 16S ribosomal RNA
Rfam family: Bacterial small subunit ribosomal RNA
Source: RNAcentral
AUUGAACGCUGGCGGCAGGCCUAACACAUGCAAGUCGAGCGGAUGAGGGGAGCUUGCUUCCUGAUUCAGCGGCGGACGGGUGAGUAAUGCCUAGGGAUCUGCCUGGUAGUGGGGGACAACGUUUCGAAAGGAACGCUAAUACCGCAUACGUCCUACGGGAGAAAGUGGGGGAGCUUCGGACCUCACGCUAUCAGAUGAGCCUAGGUCGGAUUAGCUAGUUGGUGAGGUAAAGGCUCACCAAGGCGACGAUCCGUAACUGGUCUGAGAGGAUGAUCAGUCACACUGGAACUGAGACACGGUCCAGACUCCUACGGGAGGCAGCAGUGGGGAAUAUUGGACAAUGGGCGAAAGCCUGAUCCAGCCAUGCCGCGUGUGUGAAGAAGGUCUUCGGAUUGUAAAGCACUUUAAGUUGGGAGGAAGGGCUGUAGGCUAAUAUCCUGCAGUUUUGACGUUACCGACAGAAUAAGCACCGGCUAACUUCGUGCCAGCAGCCGCAGUAA